GAUGAACGCUAGCGACAGGCUUAACACAUGCAAGUCGAGGGGCAGCACAGGUAGCAAUACCGGGUGGCGACCGGCGCACGGGUGAGUAACGCGUAUGCAACUUACCUAUCAGAGGGGGAUAACCCGGCGAAAGUCGGACUAAUACCGCAUGAAGCAGGGGUCCCGCAUGGGGAUAUUUGCUAAAGAUUCAUCGCUGGUAGCUAGGCAUGCGUUCCAUUAGGCGGGUGGCGGGGUCACGGCCCACCAAACCCACGAAGGGUAGGGGUUAGGAGAGGAAGGUCCCCCGCAAUGGUACUGAGGCACGGACCAAACUCCUACGGAAGGCAGCAGUGAGGAAGAUUGGUCGAUGGCCGAGAGGCUGAACCAGCCAAGUCGCGUGAGAGAUGAAGGUUCUAGGGAUCGUAAACCUCUUUUAUAAGAGAAUAAAGUGCGGGACGUGUCCCGUUUUGUAUGUACCUUAUGAAUAAGGAUCGGCUAACUCCGUG
RNAcentral lists this ribosomal RNA (485 nucleotides) under uncultured bacterium. RNAcentral's name for it is "partial 16S ribosomal RNA". It matches the Rfam family "Bacterial small subunit ribosomal RNA", at positions 28 to 507 of the family's 1533-position model. The record is from RNAcentral.